GGUGCUACGUGUGUGUGGGUGCGGGUUGGGUGCGUGUGUGUUGGUGCAACCUAGGGUAGAGAGGGCAGAAGGAGCUAGGGGAAAGAGGUAGGGUGCGGCGACGGUCUAAGGCCGUUUGGGGCGCCAAGGGGUGGUGGAUCGAGAGGAGGGGCUCCAGUGGAGAGGGGCGAGUGGUAGAGGUGACUGGCCAAAGAGAGGAGCGGGUCCUUUCGGUGCGGGUCCGUGACCACCACCACGUGGCGCUCCUCCGGGGUCGCCGCAGCUCGACGACAACGACGCCCGUGUCGCUGCAGCCGCACCAGUCCUACCAGCGUCGGGAAGUUCUAAGAGUUACCGCCGUAGAGCCGCGACUACCGUCUCAGCUGCCGCUCGUAGCCGCCCAUGUACCGCAGCCCCAUGGCCUCCCACCGACCGCACGUCGAGAUGUAGUUGGUGGAGUUCGGGCGGGCGGAGCCGCUGGCGUAGCUCCGGUUCCACUUGGGGUAGGCCAUGGAGGUGGGGCUGCGCAUGAACCUGUUCCUGGUCGACGACCUGCGCCACGUAACCUAGACCGUCCGCCACUCCGAGCGGACGCCGGACGAGACCCCGUGGCAGGGAGAGCAGCCGCGGAAGACCUAGCGGGAUCAAUGAACCUUUAUAACUGUAAGAGUUUGGUUUAUACUCCACGGGAAAUAAGUCAGGUACCCUCAUAUAACGGCACCUCUACUUUAUUGUACGAGCACAUGAUUAACUGAUAUGCGAUCGGACCGAACGGUAACCUUCCACCGCAUACCUGAUACCUGAGGAAAAAGAAUUCGACCGGUACACUAAUGAAAACGGAUAUUCGACCGGCACAGCAACCCGCACACCUGAGACAUGCGGGAAUGCGGCGGUAGUUCAACUCUGCCUCAUCCUCCUGCUCGUCAUCGUCGUUUAGUCAGACUACUACUGCCCCACGCCCUCCGUUACCACUAGUACGACUACCGUACUUCUUCCGACUACUGGUGUUGGAUCUGGAUAACCGUAAAGCUCUACCUUUUGUAUCCGCCGUACCUCUGUUGUUGGACCUGGUGGGUGGAGGGAACGGAAAAAUUAAAACCAACACCACCAACGUAGUGGCCGCGUCAGCGUUUAGUCAUACAUCACACGAACACCACAACCCAGACCUGACAUCACAGGUAGGUCAUCCAAUCCACGAACAACGACGAUCUAGGGUACUACGAGUGGAUUCAAAACACAAUACACCUCCGGUUGGAAACACUAGAAUAAACAGCUGUGAACACACUAGAGCAGAAUGAAACACUAUGUCCUGCAUACUAUAUAUACAAAAAUACCUACUAGAACAGAAUAAAAGG
Molecule: ribosomal RNA, 1334 nt
Filed under: Triticum aestivum (bread wheat)
Lineage: Eukaryota; Viridiplantae; Streptophyta; Magnoliopsida; Poales; Poaceae
Description: partial small subunit ribosomal RNA
Source: RNAcentral